Molecule: transfer RNA, 72 nt
Organism: Treponema saccharophilum DSM 2985
Lineage: Bacteria; Pseudomonadati; Spirochaetota; Spirochaetia; Treponematales; Treponemataceae
Rfam family: tRNA
About the family: Transfer RNA (tRNA) molecules are approximately 80 nucleotides in length. Their secondary structure includes four short double-helical elements and three loops (D, anti-codon, and T loops).
Source: Rfam
GUUCCCUUCGUCUAGUGGUUAGGACGUUAGGUUUUCAUCCUAAGAACAGAAGUUCGAUUCUUCUAGGAAAUG